This 362-nucleotide ribosomal RNA is filed under the name uncultured Gammaproteobacteria bacterium. RNAcentral's name for it is "bacterial SSU rRNA". It matches the Rfam family "Bacterial small subunit ribosomal RNA", at positions 1121 to 1482 of the family's 1533-position model. The record is from RNAcentral. Lineage: Bacteria; Pseudomonadati; Pseudomonadota; Gammaproteobacteria.
GCACGUAAUGGUGGGAACUCUAAGGAGACUGCCGGUGAUAAACCGGAGGAAGGUGGGGAUGACGUCAAGUCAUCAUGGCCCUUAUGGGUAGGGCUACACACGUGCUACAAUGGCCAGUACAGAGGGCAGCGAACUCGCGAGAGUAAGCAAAUCCCACAAAGCUGGUCGUAGUCCGGAUUGGAGUCUGCAACUCGACUCCAUGAAGUUGGAAUCGCUAGUAAUCGUGAAUCAGAAUGUCACGGUGAAUACGUUCCCGGGCCUUGUACACACCGCCCGUCACACCAUGGGAGUGGGCUGCAAAAGAAGUGGGUAGUUUAACCUUCGGGAGAACGCUCACCACUUUGUGGUUCAUGACUGGGGUG